RNAcentral lists this long non-coding RNA (2088 nucleotides) under Chlamydomonas reinhardtii. RNAcentral's name for it is "long non-coding RNA (CREI_LNC001135)". Lineage: Eukaryota; Viridiplantae; Chlorophyta; Chlorophyceae; Chlamydomonadales; Chlamydomonadaceae. The record is from RNAcentral.
AGGAGGCGAGGGAGGAGGGGGGGACGGCGGCACGGGGCUCGGCGGAGGCGCGUCGGGUGGAGGUGGAGGAGGAGGCGACGGCGGCACAGGGCUCGGCGGAGGCGCGUCCGGAGGAGGCGGAGGAGGAGGCGAUGGCGGCACAGGGCUCGGCGGAAGCGCGUCCGGUGGAGGCGGAGGAGGAGGCGACGGCGGCUCAGGGCUCGGCGGAGGCGCGUCGGGUGGAGGUGGAGGAGGCGGCGACGGCGGCACAGGGCUCGGCGGAGGCGCGUCGGGUGGAGGUGGAGGAGGAGGCGACGGCGGCACAGGGCUCGGCGGAGGCGCGUCCGGAGGAGGUGGAGGAGGAGGCGACGGCGGCUCAGGGCUCGGCGGAGGCGCGUCCGGCGGAGGCGGAGGAGGAGGCGACGGCGGCACAGGGCUCGGCGGAGGCGCGUCCGGAGGAGGCGGAGGAGGAGGCGAUGGCGGCACAGGGCUCGGCGGAAGCGCGUCCGGUGGAGGCGGAGGAGGAGGCGACGGCGGCUCAGGGCUCGGCGGAGGCGCGUCGGGUGGAGGUGGAGGAGGCGGCGACGGCGGCACAGGGCUCGGCGGAGGCGCGUCGGGUGGAGGUGGAGGAGGAGGCGACGGCGGCACAGGGCUCGGCGGAAGCGCGUCCGGUGGAGGCGGAGGAGGAGGCGACGGCGGCUCAGGGCUCGGCGGAGGCGCGUCGGGUGGAGGUGGAGGAGGCGGCGACGGCGGCACAGGGCUCGGCGGAGGCGCGUCGGGUGGAGGUGGAGGAGGAGGCGACGGCGGCACAGGGCUCGGCGGAGGCGCGUCCGGCGGAGGCGGAGGAGGCGGUGAAGGCGGCAUAGGGCUCGGUGGAGGCGCGCCGGGUGGAGGUGGAGGAGGAGGCGACGGCGGCUCGGGGCUUGGCGGAGGCGCGUCGGGUGGAGGUGGAGGAGGAGGCGAAGGCGGCACGGGGCUCGGCGGAGGCGCGUCGGGUGGAGGCGGAGGAGGAGGCGACGGCGGCACGGGGCUCGGCGGAGACGCGUCUGGUGGAGGCGGAGGAGGCGAUGGCGGCUCGGGGCUUGGCGGAGGUGCGUCCGGCGGAGGCGGAGGAGGAGGCGACGGCGGCUCGGGGCUUGGUGGAGGCGCGUCGGGCGGAGGCGGAGGAGGAGGCGACGGCGGCACAGGGCUCGGCGGAGGCGCGUCCGGAGGAGGCGGAGGAGGAGGCGACGGCGGCAUAGGGCUCGGUGGAGGCGCGUCGGGUGGAGGUGGAGGAGGAGGCGACGGCGGCUCGGGGCUCGGCGGAGGCGCGUCGGGCGGAGGCGGGGGAGGAGGCGAAGGCGGCUCAGGGCUUGGCGGAGGUGCGUCGGGCGGAGGCGGAGGAGGAGGCGAUGGCGGCUCAGGGCUCGGCGGAGGUGCGUCCGGAGGAGGCGGAGGAGGAGGCGACGGCGGCACAGGGCUCGGCGGAGGCGCGUCGGGUGGAGGUGGAGGAGGAGGCGAAGGCGGCUCGGGGCUCGGCGGAGGCGCGUCGGGUGGAGGCGGGGGAGGAGGCGAAGGCGGCUCGGGGCUUGGCGGAGGUGCGUCGGGCGGAGGCGGAGGAGGAGGUGAAGGCGGCUCGGGGCUCGGCGGAGGCGCGUCCGGCGGAGGUGGAGGAGGAGGCGAAGGCGGCUCGGGGCUUGGCGGAGGUGCGUCCGGCGGAGGCGGAGGAGGAGGCGAUGGCGGCUCGGGGCUCGGCGGAGGCGCGUCGGGUGGAGGUGGAGGAGGAGGCGACGGCGGCACAGGGCUUGGCGGAGGCGCGUCCGGCGGAGGUGGAGGGGGAGGCGAAGGCGGCUCGGGGCUUGGCGGAGGUGCGUCCGGCGGAGGCGGAGGAGGAGGCGAUGGCGGCACAGGGCUCGGCGGAGGCGCGUCAGGUGGAGGCGGAGGAGGAGGCGACGGCGGCUCGGGGCUUGGCGGAGGCGCGUCGGGUGGAGGCGGAGGGGGCGAUGGCGGCUCGGGGCUUGGAGGUUCAGGUGAUGGAGGGUCAGAGAUAGCACAUGACUUCUGUGCCUGCCCAGACAGGCACGAUAAACGGUCUGACGUUGCAAGUGUGUCUGUGCUUCCCUGAACACU